GCCCACGGCCAUGCCACCCUAAACAAGCCCGAUCUGGUCUGAUCUCGGAAGCUAAGCAGGGUCUGCCAGUUAGUACUAGGAUGGAAGACCAAAUAAGAAUACCUGGUGCUGUAGGCA
Molecule: ribosomal RNA, 117 nt
Organism: Pteropus vampyrus (large flying fox)
Lineage: Eukaryota; Metazoa; Chordata; Mammalia; Chiroptera; Pteropodidae
Source: Ensembl